GGGAGAGUAUGCAUGCAUCCUCAGCAAAUUUUUAGCCUGUCACUGGACUUAAUCAGCCGCCAAUAUGAAGAAAAUUUUGUUAAUAUUUAAUGAUUGAUCAGACAAAUUUUUAGUUCAAUUAAUUUUGCAUAAAAGUGAUUUGCAUUUGCAAUCUGAUGGAGUGAAAACAAAUUACUCCGAGAGAAAAUAAUUAGGUAUAAAUAAUCAACGUUCUAGUGAGCUACAAGUUGCCUGAAGCAUUCGAUGCGUCUGUGAGCAUGUAUGAGCUCCACAUGAUGUACUUGCAUUGAGGGAGCUAGUUGAGGCUGCCUGCUGCCUGCAGUAGUGGAGGUACGUGCGCAAGUCCGCCGUGACGUCCCUGUCACGUCAAUUUCACCAACUAUGUCAGAGCUGAAUCCGCAUCAAAGUACAGUCUAGCUCAUAUAUUGUCUACGUGCAUGCGUUAUGAUAUUCCUCGAUUUCAAUACUUCACCCGGCCGGUUGGCGUUACGCUCGAUCGAGUACUGCAUCAAGAAACACCCUUAAUUGUGUUGUUUCACCUUGAAUGGUUGCCAUGUGGACACACAAACGCAUGUGGAUGGUUUAAUUCCAAGUUGUUUUUCAGACAGACAGAGAGAGGAU
RNAcentral lists this long non-coding RNA (621 nucleotides) under Setaria viridis. RNAcentral's name for it is "long non-coding RNA (SVIR_LNC003523)". The record is from RNAcentral. Lineage: Eukaryota; Viridiplantae; Streptophyta; Magnoliopsida; Poales; Poaceae.